RNAcentral lists this ribosomal RNA (411 nucleotides) under Triticum aestivum (bread wheat). RNAcentral describes it as "partial small subunit ribosomal RNA". The record is from RNAcentral. Lineage: Eukaryota; Viridiplantae; Streptophyta; Magnoliopsida; Poales; Poaceae.
AUGAGUCAGCACAGGUAUGGAAACUUGACAGCAUUAGCUCGGGAAAGAUGCUCCUCACAGUUGAAUAAGUCUGGACUGGUACACCAGGGUAUUGCUAGGCGGACCUUGCCAGAGAAAUCAAGUCAAAUAGCAGAUUUCAACAGAAAAAGGGUUACUCACAAGCCUCAUUUGCAAGAUGAGGAACUGUGGAAAAAGUAUGAGUUAGCUGCAAAAGAUGGAAAUGAUGCGGCAACAAAUACACCAAUCUUGUUUACUACAAAUUGGGAUGCUGAUGAUUCCGGAACUAUGAGUGAUGAAGCUGAUACCAGCAAUGAUGGUGACAUGGGAAAUGAUAUGCAUGAUUUUCAUGAUGGUGCAAAUGGUGCAGAUGAAUUAUUGGGUAAUGAAAAUCUGGAAAGUGAAGAAUCCUAG